UCCACCACUCCUUCCUUCCAAGAGAGGAGAAGAUUAGGAUAGAGUCGAAGGAAGCCCUUGCCCAGUUGCUGCCCCUCCCCUGCCCUACUUACCCUUGUUCAUCAGCUGAGUAGUUUAUCGCCACCAAGGCAGGCAAGAUGUACGACGCUCCGUCCGCGCAGGAGAUGUCCUACUUCGACCAUGUGCAGAGGCGCCAUGAGGAGAAGGGCUGCCUCUACGCAUGCAUCUUCACGGCGCUGUGCUGCUUCUGCUGCUACGAGACCUGCGAGUGCUGCCUCGACUGCCUCUGCUGCUGCUGCAACUAGGCCGCCGCCUGCAGCUCCAGAAGGCCGGAUGGAGAUGGAGAUCGCCUCUGUCUCUCUUACCUGAAAAUUCAGUAGCCUGCUUGCUUAGUCUGGUUGUGAAGAACAUAAUAAAGCAUGUUGUAGUUAUUCUGUCAGUAUGAACAUUUGUGUGUUCUGAACAAGGUUCUACUAGUGCUGUAACCAAUGGUUUGAACUGCCGCAUCAUACUGUCAGCAUCCGAUUCUGAACUCACUGCGUUUAGUCCGCGUUA
This is a long non-coding RNA of Panicum hallii, 555 nucleotides long. RefSeq lists it as uncharacterized. Lineage: Eukaryota; Viridiplantae; Streptophyta; Magnoliopsida; Poales; Poaceae. The record is from RefSeq and is a predicted model, not a curated record. The transcript has 2 exons.